AGAGUUUGAUCAUGGCUCAGGACGAACGCUGGCGGCGUGCUUAACACAUGCAAGUCGAGCGGUAAGGCUCCUUCGGGAGUACACGAGCGGCGAACGGGUGAGUAACACGUGAGCAAUCUGCCCUUCACACAGGGAUAACUCCGGGAAACCGAAGCUAAUACCUGAUACGACCACUUCAGGCAUCUGAUGGUGGUGGAAAGUUCCGGCGGUGAAGGAUGAGCUCGCGGCCUAUCAGCUUGUUGGUGGGGUAACGGCCCACCAAGGCAACGACGGGUAGCCGGCCUGAGAGGGUGACCGGCCACACUGGGACUGAGACACGGCCCAGACUCCUACGGGAGGCAGCAGUGGGGAAUAUUGGACAAUGGGCGAAAGCCUGAUCCAGCAACGCCGCGUGAGGGAUGACGGCCUUCGGGUUGUAAACCUCUUUCAGCAGGGACGAAGCGCAAGUGACGGUACCUGCAGAAGAAGCACCGGCCAACUACGUGCCAGCAGCCGCGGUAAUACGCAGGGUGCGAGCGUUGUCCGGAAUUAUUGGGCGUAAAGGGCUCGUAGGCGGUCUGUCACGUCGGGAGUGAAAACUCAGGGCUUAACCCUGAGCCUGCUUCCGAUACGGGCAGACUAGAGGUAUGCAGGGGAGAACGGAAUUCCUGGUGUAGCGGUGAAAUGCGCAGAUAUCAGGAGGAACACCGGUGGCGAAGGCGGUUCUCUGGGCAUUACCUGACGCUGAGGAGCGAAAGUGUGGGGAGCGAACAGGAUUAGAUACCCUGGUAGUCCACACCGU
This 781-nucleotide ribosomal RNA is filed under the name uncultured bacterium. RNAcentral's name for it is "bacterial SSU rRNA". It matches the Rfam family "Bacterial small subunit ribosomal RNA", at positions 8 to 803 of the family's 1533-position model. The record is from RNAcentral.